Molecule: ribosomal RNA, 465 nt
Filed under: uncultured bacterium
Lineage: Bacteria
Description: partial 16S ribosomal RNA
Rfam family: Bacterial small subunit ribosomal RNA
Source: RNAcentral
CCUACGGGCGGCAGCAGUAGGGAAUCUUCCACAAUGGGCGAAAGCCUGAUGGAGCAACGCCGCGUGGGUGAAGAAGGUCUUCGGAUCGUAAAACCCUGUUGUUAGAGAAGAAAGUGCGUGAGAGUAACUGUUCACGUAUCGACGGUAUCUAACCAGAAAGCCACGGCUAACUACGUGCCAGCAGCCGCGGUAAUACGUAGGUGGCAAGCGUUAUCCGGAUUUAUUUGGCGUAAAGGGAACGCAGGCGGUCUUUUAAGUCUGAUGUGAAAGCCUUCGGCUUAACCGGAGUAGUGCAUUGGAAACGGGGAGACUUGAGUGCAGAAGAGGAGAGUGGAACUCCAUGUGUAGCGGUGAAAUGCGUAGAUAUAUGGAAGAACACCAGUGGCGAAAGCGGCUCUCUGGUCUGUAACUGACGCUGAGGUUCGAAAGCGUGGGUAGCAAACAGGAUUAGAUACCCCAGUAGUC